Molecule: ribosomal RNA, 467 nt
Filed under: uncultured bacterium
Lineage: Bacteria
Description: partial 16S ribosomal RNA
Rfam family: Bacterial small subunit ribosomal RNA
Source: RNAcentral
GCCCAGACUCCUACGGGAGGCAGCAGUGAGGAAUAUUGGUCAAUGGGUGGAAGCCUGAACCAGCCAAGUCGCGUGAGGGAAGAAGGCCCUGCGGGUCGCAGACCUCUUUGGACGGGGAGCAAGGCCGCCGACGUGUCGGCGGAAGGAGAGUACCCGUAGAACAAGCAUCGGCUAACUCCGUGCCAGCAGCCGCGGUAAUACGGAGGAUGCGAGCGUUAUCCGGAUUUAUUGGGUUUAAAGGGUGCGCAGGGGGGGGGGCAAGCGGGGGGUCAAAUCGGGGGGCUCAACCCCGCCCAGCCGUCGGAACUGCCGGGCUAGAGUGGGCGAGAAGUGCGCGGAAUGCGUGGUGUAGCGGUGAAAUGCAUAGAUAUCACGCAGAACUCCGAUUGCGAAGGCAGCAUACCGGCGCCCAACUGACGCUGAAGCACGAAAGCGUGGGUAUCGAACAGGAUUAGAUACCCGUGUAC